UGAUCUGCCCUGCACUUCGGGAUAAGCCUGGGAAACUGGGUCUAAUACUGGAUAGGACCACUUCUUGGAUGUUGUGGUGGAAAGUUUUUUCGGUGUGGGAUGAGCUCGCGGCCUAUCAGCUUGUUGGUGGGGUAAUGGCCUACCAAGGCGUCGACGGGUAGCCGGCCUGAGAGGGUGUACGGCCACAUUGGGACUGAGAUACGGCCCAGACUCCUACGGGAGGCAGCAGUGGGGAAUAUUGCACAAUGGGCGCAAGCCUGAUGCAGCGACGCCGCGUGGGGGAUGACGGCCUUCGGGUUGUAAACUCCUUUCGCUAGGGACGAAGCGUUUUUGUGACGGUACCUGGAGAAGAAGCACCGGCUAACUACGUGCCAGCAGCCGCGGUAAUACGUAGGGUGCAGCGUUGUCCGGAAUUACUGGGCGUAAAGAGCUCGUAGGUGGUUUGUCGCGUCGUUUGUGUAAGCCCGCAGCUUAACUGCGGGACUGCAGGCGAUACGGGCAUAACUUGAGUGCUGUAGGGGAGACUGGAAUUCCUGGUGUAGCGGUGGAAUGCGCAAAUAUCAGGAGGAACACCGAUGGCGAAGGCAGGUCUCUGGGCAGUAACUGACGCUGAGGAGCGAAAGCAUGGGUAGCGAACAGGAUUAGAUACCCUGGUAGUCCAUGCCGUAAACGGUGGGCGCUAGGUGUGAGUCCCUUCCACGGGGUUCGUGCCGUAGCUAACGCAUUAAGCGCCCCGCCUGGGGAGUACGGCCGCAAGGCUAAAACUCAAAGGAAUUGACGGGGGCCCGCACAAGCGGCGGAGCAUGUGGAUUAAUUCGAUGCAACGCGAAGAACCUUACCUGGGCUUGACAUACACCAGAUCGUCGUAGAGAUACGGUUUCCCUUUGUGGUUGGUGUACAGGUGGUGCAUGGUUGUCGUCAGCUCGUGUCGUGAGAUGUUGGGUUAAGUCCCGCAACGAGCGCAACCCUUGUCUUAUGUUGCCAGCACGUUAUGGUGGGGACUCGUGAGAGACUGCCGGGGUUAACUCGGAGGAAGGUGGGGAUGACGUCAAAUCAUCAUGCCCCUUAUGUCCAGGGCUUCACACAUGCUACAAUGGUCGGUACAAC
RNAcentral lists this ribosomal RNA (1107 nucleotides) under Corynebacterium ureicelerivorans. RNAcentral describes it as "bacterial SSU rRNA". It matches the Rfam family "Bacterial small subunit ribosomal RNA", at positions 122 to 1243 of the family's 1533-position model. The record is from RNAcentral. Lineage: Bacteria; Bacillati; Actinomycetota; Actinomycetes; Mycobacteriales; Corynebacteriaceae.